RNAcentral lists this ribosomal RNA (468 nucleotides) under uncultured bacterium. Its description in RNAcentral is "partial 16S ribosomal RNA". It matches the Rfam family "Bacterial small subunit ribosomal RNA", at positions 28 to 507 of the family's 1533-position model. The record is from RNAcentral.
GACGAACGCUGGCGGCGUGCUUAACACAUGCAAGUCGAACGGAAAGGCCCUGCUUUUGUGGGGUGCUCGAGUGGCGAACGGGUGAGUAACACGUGAGUAACCUGCCCUUGACUUUGGGAUAACUUCAGGAAACUGGGGCUAAUACCGGAUAGGAGCUCCUGCUGCAUGGUGGGGGUUGGAAAGUUUCGGCGGUUGGGGAUGGACUCGCGGCUUAUCAGCUUGUUGGUGGGGUAGUGGCUUACCAAGGCUUUGACGGGUAGCCGGCCUGAGAGGGUGACCGGCGACAAUGGGACUGAGAUACGGCCCAGACUGCUACGGGAGGCAGCAGUGGGGAAUAUUGCACAAUGGGCGGAAGCCUGAUGCAGCAACGCCGCGUGCGGGAUGACGGCCUUCGGGUUGUAAACCGAUUUAACCUGUGACGAAGCGUGAGUGACGGUAAUGGGUAAAGAAGCACCGGCUAACUACGUG